UCGCGAAAACUUUGCAAUAAGCGAAAGCUUGACAGGGCUAUCCCGAGUGCCAUCCGCUGAGGAAGGCUUUUACCCAGUCUAGAACGCUGGGGGAAUAAGGAGAGGGCAAGUCUGGUGUCAGCCGCCGCGGUAAUACCAGCUCUCCGAGUGGUGUGGAUGUUUAUUGGGCCUAAAGCAUCCGUAGCUGGCUAAGUUAGUCCCUUGUUAAAUCCACCGAAUUAAUCGUUGGAUUGCGGGGGAUACUGCUUGGCUAGGGGACGAGAGAGGCAGACGGUAUUUCCGGGGUAGGGGUGAAAUCCUAUAAUCCCGGGAAGACCACCAGUGGCGAAGGCUGUCUGCUAGAACGCGCCCGACGGUGAGGGAUGAAAGCUGGGGGAGCGAACCGGAUUAGAUACCCGGGUAGUCCCAGCUGUAAACGAUGCAGGCUAGGUGUUUGGACGGCCACGUGCCGUUCUAGUGCCGCAGGGAA
RNAcentral lists this ribosomal RNA (469 nucleotides) under uncultured crenarchaeote. RNAcentral's name for it is "bacterial SSU rRNA". It matches the Rfam family "Archaeal small subunit ribosomal RNA", at positions 339 to 810 of the family's 1478-position model. Lineage: Archaea; Thermoproteati; Thermoproteota. The record is from RNAcentral.